GCAUUUGUUCCUUGGUGUGGGGACAGAGGGUGCCACACAAUGAGCAGAGUAUAUCCAGACAGGUUGUUUUCCAUUUGUCCUGGGGCCUGUCUCUAUAACUCUGCCACAUUU
This is a small nucleolar RNA of Perognathus longimembris pacificus (Pacific pocket mouse), 111 nucleotides long. RefSeq annotates it as small nucleolar RNA SNORA55. The transcript has a single exon. The record is from RefSeq and is a predicted model, not a curated record. NCBI's taxonomy places the organism in Eukaryota, Metazoa, Chordata, Mammalia, Rodentia, Heteromyidae.